GCCGCCUUAGCUCAGUUGGUCAGAGCAGCUGUUUUGUAAACAGCAGGUCGUGGGUUCGAAUCCGACAGGCGGCUCCA
Molecule: transfer RNA, 77 nt
Filed under: Parcubacteria group bacterium ADurb.Bin115
Lineage: Bacteria
Also listed under: 2 other names
Description: tRNA-Thr
Rfam family: tRNA
About the family: Transfer RNA (tRNA) molecules are approximately 80 nucleotides in length. Their secondary structure includes four short double-helical elements and three loops (D, anti-codon, and T loops).
Source: RNAcentral